This 252-nucleotide ribosomal RNA is filed under the name uncultured bacterium. Its description in RNAcentral is "partial 16S ribosomal RNA". It matches the Rfam family "Bacterial small subunit ribosomal RNA", at positions 524 to 776 of the family's 1533-position model. The record is from RNAcentral.
UACGUAGGGGGCUAGCGUUAUCCGGAAUUACUGGGCGUAAAGGGUGCGUAGGUGGUUUCUUAAGUCAGAGGUGAAAGGCUACGGCACAACCGUAGUAAGCCUUUGAAACUGGGAAACUUGAGUGCAGGAGAGGAGAGUGGAAUUCCUAGUGUAGCGGUGAAAUGCGUAGAUAUUAGGAGGAACACCAGUUGCGAAGGCGGCUCUCUGGACUGUAACUGACACUGAGGCACGAAAGCGUGGGGAGCAAACAGG